RNAcentral lists this ribosomal RNA (253 nucleotides) under uncultured bacterium. RNAcentral's name for it is "partial 16S ribosomal RNA". It matches the Rfam family "Bacterial small subunit ribosomal RNA", at positions 524 to 776 of the family's 1533-position model. The record is from RNAcentral.
UACGUAGGGUGCAAGCGUUGUCCGGAAUUAUUGGGCGUAAAGAGCUCGUAGGCGGUUUGUCGCGUCUGCUGUGAAAUCCCGAGGCUCAACCUCGGGUCUGCAGUGGGUACGGGCAGACUAGAGUGCGGUAGGGGAGAUUGGAACUCCUGGUGUAGCGGUGGAAUGCGCAGAUAUCAGGAAGAACACCGGUGGCGAAGGCAGAUCUCUGGGCCGUAACUGACGCUGAGGAGCGAAAGCAUGGGGAGCGAACAGG